GAUGAACGCUGGCGGCGUGCCUAAUACAUGCAAGUCGAACGAGUUCUCGUUGAUGAUCGGUGCUUGCACCGAGAUUCAACAUGGAACGAGUGGCGGACGGGUGAGUAACACGUGGGUAACCUGCCCUUAAGUGGGGGAUAACAUUUGGAAACAGAUGCUAAUACCGCAUAGAUCCAAGAACCGCAUGGUUCUUGGCUGAAAGAUGGCGUAAGCUAUCGCUUUUGGAUGGACCCGCGGCGUAUUAGCUAGUUGGUGAGGUAAUGGCUCACCAAGGCGAUGAUACGUAGCCGAACUGAGAGGUUGAUCGGCCACAUUGGGACUGAGACACGGCCCAAACUCCUACGGGGGGCAGCAGUAGGGAAUCUUCCACAAUGGACGCAAGUCUGAUGGAGCAACGCCGCGUGAGUGAAGAAGGCUUUCGGGUCGUAAAACUCUGUUGUUGGAGAAGAAUGGUCGGCAGAGUAACUGUUGUCGGCGUGACGGUAUCCAACCAGAAAGCCACGGCUAACUACGUGCCAGCAGCCGCGGUAAUACGUAGGUGGCAAGCGUUAUCCGGAUUUAUUGGGCGUAAAGCGAGCGCAGGCGGUUUUUUAAGUCUGAUGUGAAAGCCCUCGGCUUAACCGAGGAAGCGCAUCGGAAACUGGGAAACUUGAGUGCAGAAGAGGACAGUGGAACUCCAUGUGUAGCGGUGAAAUGCGUAGAUAUAUGGAAGAACACCAGUGGCGAAGGCGGCUGUCUGGUCUGUAACUGACGCUGAGGCUCGAAAGCAUGGGUAGCGAACAGGAUUAGAUACCCUGGUAGUCCAUGCCGUAAACGAUGAAUGCUAGGUGUUGGAGGGUUUCCGCCCUUCAGUGCCGCAGCUAACGCAUUAAGCAUUCCGCCUGGGGAGUACGACCGCAAGGUUGAAACUCAAAGGAAUUGACGGGGGCCCGCACAAGCGGUGGAGCAUGUGGUUUAAUUCGAAGCAACGCGAAGAACCUUACCAGGUCUUGACAUCUUUUGAUCACCUGAGAGAUCAGGUUUCCCCUUCGGGGGCAAAAUGACAGGUGGUGCAUGGUUGUCGUCAGCUCGUGUCGUGAGAUGUUGGGUUAAGUCCCGCAACGAGCGCAACCCUUAUGACUAGUUGCCAGCAUUUAGUUGGGCACUCUAGUAAGACUGCCGGUGACAAACCGGAGGAAGGUGGGGAUGACGUCAAAUCAUCAUGCCCCUUAUGACCUGGGCUACACACGUGCUACAAUGGAUGGUACGACGAGUUGCGAGACCGCGAGGUCAAGCUAAUCUCUUAAAGCCAUUCUCAGUUCGGACUGUAGGCUGCAACUCGCCUACACGAAGUCGGAAUCGCUAGUAAUCGCGGAUCAGCACGCCGCGGUGAAUACGUUCCCGGGCCUUGUACACACCGCCCGUCACACCAUGAGAGUUUGUAACACCCGAAGCCGGUGGCGUAACCCUUUUAGGGAGCGAGCCGUCUAAGGUGGGACAAAUGAUUAGGGUGAAGUCGUAACAAGGUAGCCGUAGGAGAACC
Molecule: ribosomal RNA, 1522 nt
Filed under: Lactobacillus sp. DB-74
Lineage: Bacteria; Bacillati; Bacillota; Bacilli; Lactobacillales; Lactobacillaceae
Description: bacterial SSU rRNA
Rfam family: Bacterial small subunit ribosomal RNA
Source: RNAcentral